Coffea eugenioides is the source of this 1656-nucleotide RNA transcript. RefSeq lists it as uncharacterized. The record is from RefSeq and is a predicted model, not a curated record. NCBI's taxonomy places the organism in Eukaryota, Viridiplantae, Streptophyta, Magnoliopsida, Gentianales, Rubiaceae. The transcript is spliced from 3 exons.
CGAUACUUGUAUGAAAGAUGAACUCCUCCUCAUGAAGCAUAUCCCAUGGUCCCAGAAGGCAUCUUUGAUUGAUACACAUAAAUUAGAGGAUCAAAUAACUAGAAGACUACAUCCCUAUGCCACUCUUGCCCAAUCCUGUGAAUGGUACCUUUUUAGCUCCCCAAUCCGUGUUCAAUUCUUCAAGCUUCUCCAACUUUGCAUCCAUCUUUUCUCAUCUGCUGCCUCUGUUUAAAUGCAGAUUGAAUUCUGACUAGCAGCCCUGUGUUUUGAUGAUGGACUCGCUUCUAAUAAACUCCCGAUUCGACGCCUUCGCCUUCCAUCUAUCCAAGUCAAACCUCAAGUCUCUAGAGUCCCUCCAUUCCUUCUCGGGUUUCAAUUUCCAGCAUUCCAAUAAAUUGAAAAGCCGCUCAGUUCUGACAGACACAAAUAAUCCUCGAAACCCGAAUUCAAACUGGGGAAUCUAUAGGUCGCCAUUAAGAAAGAGACCCUUUUCAGCUUUCCUUCCAAUCAUCAAGAAAAUAAAAGAUAUCGCAUUAAAAGCCUCAAAGAUCAAAUGGGCAUCCAGCUUUCAGGGUUGUAGCAGCCUUGAGGCUUUGCCGUGUGAAUUUGAGGGAAAAUUUUCGCAAAAUGGAGCCAUUGGGAUAGCUCUGUUGAGUGUGACGUCAACAGCAAAGGUUAAAAUAAGUCCCUUCGUGGCUACGUUAGCUGCGAACCCGACUUUUGUUUCGGGACUUUUUGCUUGGGCAAUAGCGCAGUCUAUUAAAGUUUUCUUGAACUUUUGGGUGGAGAGGAAAUGGGAUUUGAGGAUAAUGUUUGCUUCUGGAGGAAUGCCAUCAUCUCAUUCCGCAUUGUGCACUGCAUUGACUACUUCAGUGGCUAUCUGUCAUGGAGUUGCAGAUUCGUUAUUUCCGGUCUGUUUGUGGUUUAGUUUGAUAGUCAUGUAUGAUGCAAUUGGUGUCAGAAGACAUGCUGGGAUGCAAGCAGAGGUUCUGAAUGUGAUUAUUCAAGACUUAUUCCAGGGUCAUCCUAUUAGUCAGAGAAAGCUCAAGGAGCUUCUUGGGCACACUCCAUCCCAGGUGGUUGCUGGAGCUUUGCUUGGAAGUAUUGUUGCUUGGAUCUGUUGUCAGGGUUGUGCUAUUGCUAUGUGAUCGGUAUUCAGCAGGUGCAUUGUCAAAUAGACUGGUACAAUCCUUUGCAACCUGGGUUUCCAAAAGCCUUGGCGUCUGAUGAAAAGAUAGCGGUUACCAUGUCACACAAACCUAACUUUUAAUCUGUAGCAUAAACUCGAGCGAGAGGUCCAGUUUUAGUGCUUAACCCUGUGACAUCCAACACAGCUGUUUCGAUAACAACAAAUAGGGGAUGGCAAGUCAAGACCCUGCACAAUACAGUCGGAUGCAACUGGCCAAGGACCAAGCUCAGGACACCUCAACCAGGAGAUUUGUUCCUAUUCAGAUAGCUCAAAUACAUAACAAGAGAUGUACAGUCAAGAGUGCCAGAGAUUUGGAACCAGACUGUUUUCUGCUUUUUAUUUAGUUGUAAAAUUGGCCAAUGGGUGACUUGCUUUGUGUUUUCAAUGCUGUAUCCCAACACACCAAUUGAAUACUUGUAAUGUCUCGGAAGACAUGUUCUAGAGGACGAACAAUCAUUUAGUUGUUA